GACGAACGCUGGCGGCGUGCUUAACACAUGCAAGUCGAACGGAAAGGCCCUGCUUUUGUGGGGUGCUCGAGUGGCGAACGGGUGAGUAACACGUGAGUAACCUGCCCUUGACUUUGGGAUAACUUCAGGAAACUGGGGCUAAUACCGGAUAGGAGCUCCUGCUGCAUGGUGGGGGUUGGAAAGUUUCGGCGGUUGGGGAUGGACUCGCGGCUUAUCAGCUUGUUGGUGGGGUAGUGGCUUACCAAGGCAUUGACGGGUAGCCGGCCUGGGAGGGUGACCGGCCACAUUGGGACUGAGAGACGGCCCAGACGCCUACGGGAGGCAGCAGUGGGGAAUAUUGCACAAUGGGCGGAAGCCUGAUGCAGCAACGCCGCGUGCGGGAUGACGGCCUUCGGGUUGUAAACCGCGUUCGCCUGUGACGAAGCGUGAGUGACGGUAAUGGGUAAAGAAGCACCGGCUAACUACGUG
RNAcentral lists this ribosomal RNA (468 nucleotides) under uncultured bacterium. RNAcentral's name for it is "partial 16S ribosomal RNA". It matches the Rfam family "Bacterial small subunit ribosomal RNA", at positions 28 to 507 of the family's 1533-position model. The record is from RNAcentral.